GUUUUGCCAAAUUUUACAUUAGUAUAAAACCUCUUUAUAUAAAUCCUUAUUUAACAGGAAUCCUUAUGUCAUUUGUCAUGAUGGUAAAACUUAUGCUAUCCUGUGUAACACUUCUGUUGAAUAAAUGUUCUAUGAUUUGGCAGUGGUUGCAUUCACACCAAGUUUACUGGAGUUUUUAUAAGUAAUUUUAUAUUUCAUGAAUAUUAAUACAAUCUCUCAUAAAGCUCGCCUCUCAAUAUUUAAACAACACUAAAGUCAAGUUUCCUUAUCUACGUCUAUUUUUGACUUUAUAACGACUACAACAAUUUCAUUGUUUGAUAUUACUUGUGACACAUAAGCAGAAGCCAUUUAAAAAAAAGAAGCUCGACAAAAAAUACAAUAUCUUUCUAGCAAGUUCAAUUAAAAAAAAAAAACAUCUUUUAAAUGGCUCUGCCAAUAAUCUGCUAUUACUUCUAAUUGUGUAUUUAAUAAAAAAAAAAAAGUAACAUGAUUUUGUUGAAUACACACACUUUGUCUUUCAAGACUCUCCUCUUUAUCAAUUAAAGCAUCAGUGGAUGGAUAAAACCACGUCUGUUAGGAGUAGCAACUUAAAACCUUGCGUCAAAAAAACUUAAAAUAUCAUAUACACACAAUCUUUUUACAAUUAAUAUUCUGCUGUAAACUGUAGGAGAUUUUUCAAAAUGUGUUGCCAAAGUUUUUUUCAAAAUAACAUUCAUUUACUUAAAAUUAUAAAUGACUGCUACACUAGGCAUAGAAAAAAAUUAGCAGCUUUCAUUUCUUAUAGUUAUGACUAUUGAUUAACAAAAUUCACACAAAUAUUAAAAUAGAAAACAUUGGAAAUCCAUGUUUUUAAUUUUUUUGUAUUUAUAG
RNAcentral lists this long non-coding RNA (870 nucleotides) under Mytilus galloprovincialis (Mediterranean mussel). The record is from RNAcentral. Lineage: Eukaryota; Metazoa; Mollusca; Bivalvia; Mytilida; Mytilidae.